This 72-nucleotide transfer RNA is filed under the name Phrynosoma platyrhinos (Desert horned lizard). Its description in RNAcentral is "tRNA-OTHER". Lineage: Eukaryota; Metazoa; Chordata; Lepidosauria; Squamata; Phrynosomatidae. The record is from RNAcentral.
GCCAAUGUGGUGUAAUGGUUUGAAUGUUGGACUACGACUCUGGAGACCAGGGUUUGAUUCCCUGCUCGGCCA